Molecule: long non-coding RNA, 3013 nt
Filed under: Sus scrofa (pig)
Lineage: Eukaryota; Metazoa; Chordata; Mammalia; Artiodactyla; Suidae
Description: lncRNA (ENSSSCG00060046212.1)
Source: RNAcentral
CCCCUUCCCGGAGUCGGCGCUGGCCGUUGUGGCAGGAGCUCCGCUGAGGUCCCUCAGUUACGCCACGCCUCAAGGUCGCGGGCGGGGCCCAAGCCACUCCCGAGCUCCUGGUAUCACCCUUUCCCCGACCCGGAGUCCCGAUCACGUCCCCUUUGCCCACUCCCGGGUCGAGCAGCUGCUCCUCGGACCCCUGGAGGCAAAAGAGAGUCACUGCCGCUUCAGCGUUGGGUCCUGCCCGAGGGGGCGCCUCCGCCCUUCCCGGGCCCGGGCUUCCUUGACCCCAACCCACCUUGGGGGUGGACAGCUACCUGGAGUCACUGCCUCAGAGGGUUGACCCAAGUAACUUUAGGGCUCUCGCUAGAGCAAGGGGAAUACACAGCCACCCCCAGGUUAAAUGUAAUCCUCUUUAGGACGCGCCGCCACAACUGCCCUCAGAGCUGUCAGGGGCCUUGCUUUGGGGCCAGGAACAGGGUUGCCAGAUUUAGCGCACACACAAGGAUGCCCAGGUAGGAUGGGGACUGGGCAGAGCAUCCUCCACAGAUUUGUCUAACACGUGUGGCGCCUGAGAUGGGGAGCUAGGAAUUGGUCCAGGAGAGAAAAACAAACGCAGACAUUUGGAGGAUUUGAGGUAAAAAUUUAAUAAUGUGUAAUAAAUGUUCGUGAUAAUUUGGGUCUCACAAAACCCUGCCUCCCCAUACUAUAUCCUCUUACUUGGGUGAUAAAAUUCUAAUGCAACUCCGUGUUCUCACGAUCAUGACUCUCUCUCUGUGACUCACGAUCAAAAUCUGAGGCUUCAAAAUAAUGUUUUUCCUGUUUCUUUUUUUCUUUUUCUUUUUUUUAGGGCCGCACACGUGGCAUAUGGAGGUUCCCAGGCUAGGGGUCCAGUAGGAGCUGUAGCCACCAGCCUAUGCCACAGCCACAGCAACGUGGAAUCCGAGCCCUGUCUAUGACCUACACCACAGCUCACAGCAAUGGCAGAUCCUUAACCCACUGCGCAAGGCCAGGGAUUGAACCCUCGUCCUCAAGGAUGCUAGUCGGGUUUGUUAACUACUGGGCCAUGAUGGGGACUCCAUGUUUUGCCUAUUUCCUUCUGAGGGAGUGUAUAGUCACUGAAGAGUUUCAAACUCAGACUUUGGCCACCUAUUGUUCCAGAAGAUUUUAAUAUUCUAAUUAGUAAGAGGAAAUCAUGAGAACAAGUAAGAGAGUCCCAGUUCCUCCAUAUGUUCAUGGAGACAAAGAGAAUCCAGUCCAUCAUUCUGUAAUUUUCAGAGACCUUUCCAAUACCUGCUAAGUCCAGUGUGAAAACAGGCUAAUAGCACAUCCAGUCUCCCGCUUUUACUGGUCCCCUUGGAGUUCCUGGGCUCCAGCAAUGCUAAAUUGGUUGUUAGUACCAUGAUGUUCUGAUGCAUUAGGAAAGCUUUUUUGACCCCCCCAAAGCCUAAUUUCAGAUAGUCCUUUUUGCCAAUGUGGCAUCUUUUAUGUCACUGUGUUGGGGAUAUGAAUUUUUAAUCUCCUUAAAAUAUAGUAUGUUGAAGGUGCAAAAUUUGGCAUCGAACAAGUAAGAUGAAGAAUUGACUUCAGGAAGGGAGUCCCCUUGCUGAGGCUGCUCUUGCCAGUUGGGGCUCUGGAGGUAGCUGUUUGGAAAAGGAAUUGGGUUCUGCCCUUAAAAGUAAAGUUAUUCGGCAAAGUGAAGAAGCCUUGAUACAGCUGCGAGCCCAGGAGCAGCUGUGGACCUAACACCCUCCUGCACACCUUUAAGGAUGCUAAAGGCUUGUGACUGCUCAUUAGUACCUACAAAUCAUUUAAAUUAUCAGUUUCUUGAUCCAUUGUGAGCUCAUUAAUUAAUAUUUUUUCUCAAUACAUUUAAGGUCAAAAGAGGUUGCAAGUAGAAGACUAAUUCAAUCACUUGCACACAUGGGCAUCGAUCUCUUUCUCCUGCCCUCUCUCCUUGGCACCCUCCUUCAACAGCAUCCAUCCCUGGGCUUUUGUGAGUCAACCCUGCUCCAGAAGCUCCACUCACCCCCUCAUAGCCAGCACGUGCUUUCUUCCUGUCAGUCUCUUCGUUCCUUUGUUCCUCCUGACACACAGUCACAUCUCUUUCCCAUCUCUUAGUUGUUCUGUACACGGUGUAUGUUUUAUUUUUCAAUUUUCCUAUCUUACCUCUCCUUUUCUUUAGCAAACACAUAUUCAUUGCAUUCUGAGGCUUUGUCCUUGAUUCUUUCCCUAAUCAGUUGCUAUUAUUUUUUUGUAAUUUUUCUUUUUCUUUUUUUUUUUUUUUCCUGUUGCUUUGUUUUUUUCACUUUCUUGGGGUAUGAAAAGCAGAGUGCAGAUGCUGAUGCUAGUCCACCUCACCAGCAGCCCUGGUGCCAGAACUUCUAGUCUCUUCAUUGCUGGGCUCUUGCAUUCUUGUGAGAGCAGGUGUAGCAAAUCCCCUCCCCUCCCCCUCCAGCCUGUUUCAGGAAGUUUGGGUGGGUCAUUCCCACUGGGCGCUAUGUUCAGUCUCUUUCCUUGAAGCCAAAUAUGCCUCCAGGUGUCCUGCUCUUCUAGGGCCUGUGGAGAGAACAGCUCAGAAGUCAACAGCAACGUUCGCAGGCAGAGAACGGGCAGGUUGGUGAAGAAACUAGUGACAGAAGCAUGCAGUGAGUGGGGAGCUGUUUUCCUGGAUUACUUUGAAUAAGGUGCUUCUUUAAUAUCUUAUGCUCAAACUGCAUUUUAUUGGAAGAUUUAAGGUUGGUGAAGAACUGAUGCUCCAAGUUUGGUAAAAUUGAUUCUAGAUUUUUUUUUUUUUUUUUUUUUUUUUUUUUUUGGCUUGAUGACCUUCUAAAGGGGCACUGGAAUGGUGUUUCUGGUUUCUCUUUGAGAGUCUCCUAUCUUCCCCAGGGAAUGUAAUUUGUCUUCUACCUCUGGCUGUCUUUAUGUCCUGCCUGGGGGUCUAAGCCUCAGUAUAAAUAGUUUGGCAGUUGAGUGGGGUGGGCGCUGUGGGUCCCACUGUUAAGGAUGUGAAUUUUCUCUG